UGAAAGGCUUUGUAAGCACAUCAGGGCAUG
This 30-nucleotide non-coding RNA is filed under the name Mus musculus (house mouse). The record is from RNAcentral. Lineage: Eukaryota; Metazoa; Chordata; Mammalia; Rodentia; Muridae.